GACGAACGCUGGCGGCGUGCUUAACACAUGCAAGUCGAGCGAUGAAACACCUUCGGGUGCGGAUUAGCGGCGAACGGGUGAGGAACACGUGAGGAAUCUGCCAUCCACUCUGGGAUAACUCCGGGAAACCGGGGCUAAUACCGGAUACUUUCAACUGGCGGCAUCGCCGGUUGAAGAAAGUUUUUCGGUGGAAGAUGACCUCGCGGCCCAUCAGCUUGUUGGUGAGGUAAGGGCUCACCAAGGCGACGACGGGUAGCCGGCCUGAGAGGGCGACCGGCCACACUGGGACUGAGACACGGCCCAGACUCCUACGGGAGGCAGCAGUGGGGAAUAUUGGCAAUGGAGGAAACUCUGACCCAGCGACGCCGCGUGAGGGAUGAAGGCCUUCGGGUUGUAAACCUCUUUCAGCAGGGAAUAAGCGAAAGUGAAGGUACCUGCAGAAGAAGCACCGGCUAACUAUGUGCCAGCCGCCGCAGUAA
This 479-nucleotide ribosomal RNA is filed under the name uncultured bacterium. RNAcentral describes it as "partial 16S ribosomal RNA". It matches the Rfam family "Bacterial small subunit ribosomal RNA", at positions 28 to 523 of the family's 1533-position model. The record is from RNAcentral.